Non-coding RNA from Caenorhabditis elegans, 221 nucleotides. The record is from Ensembl. NCBI's taxonomy places the organism in Eukaryota, Metazoa, Nematoda, Chromadorea, Rhabditida, Rhabditidae.
AAUCGGCAAUUUGCCGGAAUUGAAAAUUUCCGCCAAAUCGACAAUUGCCGGAAUUGAAAAUUUCUGGCAAAACGGCAAAUCGGCAAACUGCCGGAAUUGAAAAUUUCUGGCAAACCGGCAAACAGGCUAAUUGCCGAUUUGCCGAAUUUAUCGAUAAAUCAGUUUGCCAAACGGCAAUUUCCCCCACCCCUGAUUGGGAUCUUUGAAAUAAAACAGGAAGA